GCCUGGGCUGCAGGCCCGUGAGCGGAGCCGGGCACCGUGGGCUCUGGAGUCUGGCGGAGCGUUCACCUGCGGCGGGUCCCAUUGCGUGGCCUCCAGUGGUGUCGCCAGCCUCGGUCCUGUCUUUGUGGCGCGGAAAGGAGAGAGGCCCCUCCACUGGAGCUUUCUCAGACUCAUCACCCCGGCCUGAACCGGCACCUCGUGAGAAUAGACCCAGCGAGGUUAAAAUGGCCGCCCUUUACGCGGGAGGCUGGAAGACCCUGGUGGACAGAAGCUUAUGCUGCUGCUGCUAAGUCACUUCAGUCGAGUCUGACUCUGUGCGACCUCAUAGACGGCCUCGUACCAGGCUCCUCUGUCCCUGGGAUUCUCCAGGCAAGAACAAUGGAGUGGGUUGCCAUUUCCUUCUCCAAUGCAUGAAAGUGAAAAGUGAAAGUGAAGUCUCUCAGUCGUGUCUGACUCUUAGCUACCUCAUGGACUGCAGCCUACCAGGCUCCUCCGUCCAUGGGAUUUUCCAGGCAAGAGUACUGGAGUGGGGUGC
Molecule: long non-coding RNA, 535 nt
Filed under: Capra hircus (goat)
Lineage: Eukaryota; Metazoa; Chordata; Mammalia; Artiodactyla; Bovidae
Description: lncRNA (ENSCHIG00000005741.1)
Source: RNAcentral